This 262-nucleotide ribosomal RNA is filed under the name Bacillus tequilensis. RNAcentral's name for it is "partial 16S ribosomal RNA". It matches the Rfam family "Bacterial small subunit ribosomal RNA", at positions 80 to 334 of the family's 1533-position model. Lineage: Bacteria; Bacillati; Bacillota; Bacilli; Caryophanales; Bacillaceae. The record is from RNAcentral.
UGCUCCCUGAUGUUUGCGGCGGACGGGUGUAGUAACACGUGGGUAACCUGCCUGUAAGACUGGGAUAACUCCGGGAAACCGGGGCUAAUACCGGAUGGUUGUUUGAACCGCAUGGUUCAAACAUAACCUUUGGCUUCGGCUACGGCUUACAUAUGAACCCGCGGCGCAUUAGCUAGUUGGUGAGGUAAUGGCUCACCAAGGCAACGAUGCGUAGCCGACCUGAGAGGGUGAUCGGCCACACUGGGACUGAGACACGGCCCAG